UCGGGAAUUUUGGGCAAUGGGCGAAAGCCUGACCCAGCAACGCCGCGUGAAGGAUGAAGUAUUUCGGUAUGUAAACUUCGUAAGAAUAGGAAGAAUAAAUGACGGUACUAUUUGUAAGGUCCGGCUAACUACGUGCCAGCAGCCGCGGUAAUACGUAGGGACCAAGCGUUGUUCGGAUUUACUGGGCGUAAAGGGCGCGUAGGCGGUGUGUCAAGUCAGUUGUGAAAUCUCCGAGCUUAACUCGGAACGGUCAACUGAUACUGUCACACUAGAGUACAGAAGGGGCAAUCGGAAUUCUUGGUGUAGCGGUGAAAUGCGUAGAUAUCAAGAGGAACACCUGAGGCGAAGGCGGGUUGCUGGGCUGAUACUGACGCUGAGGCGCGAAAGCUAGGGUAGCAAACGGGAUUAGAUACCCGAGUAGUCCCUGAGCGGGCUGGCAAGGCGCAU
This 447-nucleotide ribosomal RNA is filed under the name uncultured bacterium. RNAcentral's name for it is "bacterial SSU rRNA". It matches the Rfam family "Bacterial small subunit ribosomal RNA", at positions 355 to 825 of the family's 1533-position model. The record is from RNAcentral.